UACGAAGGGGGCUAGCGUUGCUCGGAAUCACUGGGCGUAAAGCGCACGUAGGCGGCUUUCUAAGUCAGGGGUGAAAUCCUGGAGCUCAACUCCAGAACUGCCUUUGAUACUGGAAAGCUUGAGUUCGGGAGAGGUGAGUGGAACUGCGAGUGUAGAGGUGAAAUUCGUAGAUAUUCGCAAGAACACCAGUGGCGAAGGCGGCUCACUGGCCCGAUACUGACGCUGCAGCGCGAAAGCUAGGGGAGCAAACAGG
This 253-nucleotide ribosomal RNA is filed under the name uncultured bacterium. Its description in RNAcentral is "partial 16S ribosomal RNA". It matches the Rfam family "Bacterial small subunit ribosomal RNA", at positions 524 to 776 of the family's 1533-position model. The record is from RNAcentral.